UACCAGCACCCCGAGUGGUCGGGACGUUUAUUGGGCCUAAAGCAUCCGUAGCCGGUUCUACAAGUCUUCCGUUAAAUCCACCUGCUUAACAGAUGGGCUGCGGAAGAUACUAUAGAGCUAGGAGGCGGGAGAGGCAAGCGGUACUCGAUGGGUAGGGGUAAAAUCCGUUGAUCCAUUGAAGACCACCAGUGGCGAAGGCGGCUUGCUAGAACGCGCUCGACGGUGAGGGAUGAAAGCUGGGGGAGCAAACCGG
Molecule: ribosomal RNA, 253 nt
Filed under: uncultured bacterium
Lineage: Bacteria
Description: partial 16S ribosomal RNA
Rfam family: Archaeal small subunit ribosomal RNA
Source: RNAcentral